This 497-nucleotide ribosomal RNA is filed under the name uncultured bacterium. RNAcentral's name for it is "partial 16S ribosomal RNA". It matches the Rfam family "Bacterial small subunit ribosomal RNA", at positions 28 to 507 of the family's 1533-position model. The record is from RNAcentral.
GAUGAACGCUGGCGGCGUGCCUAAUACAUGCAAGUCGAGCGAACGGACGAGAAGCUUGCUUCUCUGAUGUUAGCGGCGGACGGGUGAGUAACACGUGGAUAACCUACCUAUAAGACUGGGAUAACUUCGGGAAACCGGAGCUAAUACCGGAUAAUAUUCUGAACCGCAUGGUUCAAAAGUGAAAGACGGUCUUGCUGUCACUUAUAGAUGGAUACGCGCUGCAUUAGCUAGUUGGUAAGGUAACGGCUUACCAAGGCAACGAUGCAUAGCCGACCUGAGAGAGUGAUCGGCGACACUGGAACUGAGACACGGUCCAGAGUCCUACGGGAGGCAGCAGUAGGGAAUCUUCCGCAGUGGGCGAAAGCCUUGCGGAGCAGCGCCGCGUGAGUUGUGGAGGUCUUCGGAUCGUAAAACUCUGUUAUUAGUGAAGAACAUAUUUGUAAGUAACUGUGCACAUCUUGACGGUACCUAAUCAGAAAGCCACGGCUAACUACGUG